Molecule: long non-coding RNA, 1484 nt
Filed under: Vitis vinifera (wine grape)
Lineage: Eukaryota; Viridiplantae; Streptophyta; Magnoliopsida; Vitales; Vitaceae
Description: long non-coding RNA (VVIN_LNC000758)
Source: RNAcentral
GAACAACCUUUAUCUUUAACAAAGACGAGGGGUCUAAUUGAUUCUUAGUGUUCUCUCAAGUUAUCAACUUUUGAUGUGACUUUUAAAAAUUCCAGUGUUGGUGGCUAAUACAACUGUAGUUCCAGUAAUGUAACAUUAUUAUGGAGAUUAAACUCCUGAUUUGUUUGGUUUGUUAUAUGUAGAAAUCCCAAGGCAAUUGGAUUCCUGUCUUUGUGUGUGUGUUGUAAAUUCGAAACUACAAUUCAUUGCAAUUAGCAUGUUAAUACCAUGUAUAAUGUGCUAAUUUACCUCCUUUUUAAUAUGCUUUUUGCUUGUUAAUGCUUACUCUUUAAGAACCUAUGUAAGCGUGUUCUUGUGGGGAUUGGGUGUGUAAGCAUGGUUGGCUGCAGGUGGGGCGUCUGUGUAUGUGCCAGCUGAUGAUCUUGUAAUUUCUCGUUGCUCCUUUAUGGUUCUCAUGUUUUGUGGGAUCUUUGUAUUCGGCACCUCUCCCCCUAGCUCAUGGCUCCAUUAGCCCCCAUCUCAUCUUUCUUGUGUUCCACAGCCUCUACAAUAGGAUACUCCUUAGGCAUGACUUCAUUAAACUUGACUUCAUAAAACUUUCAGUUAGAUAUAUGGGUUGUAUACUGUUGCUAUUCAUCAAUAAUGUUAUUCUUGGCAAAUAAUAUGCUACUCUGUUUUAGUUGGUUCGAUGUGAGUUAGUGUUUUAAAAAGCUAUUGAGGCUAUGCAAAUUAGCCUUGAGGCUAUAGUCUCAAUUAAGCUCAAGCCUCACCUAGUCGAGGCUCAACUCAAGCCUCACCUAGUCGAGGCUCAACUCAAGCCUCAUGGGCUAUAGCCUCAAAUAUUCGAAGGGUUUUUGGUCAUUGUGGGCUUUUGAUAUAUUUAUAUAUAUAUAUAUAUUUUCUAAUAGGGCUAGGCCUCAAUAUUCAAUGAGUUCUAAUGAGUUAUAUUGCCAACUAUGAUUUUGUUGGCUUUUGAUAUAGAUUUCUUGAGUUUUGUAUCAGGUUCCCUCUUGGUUAAACUUUUUGAAAAAUAAGAACUUAGUUGACUUCCAAUUAACCUUUUAAAUGGAAUGGAAAAAGAGAGUUUGAGAAGCAAGAAUAGAGAAAUUGGUACGAAUUAAAGAAAAAACGAAAAAAGAAUAGUAGGAUUGUUGACUGUCCUAGUGUGUUUGUGUGUGUAUUAUUUUAUCAUUGAUAGAUAGGAAAAAAAUAAUGAAGAUUGGGUGGAUAUUAACACUAAUAGGGAUAAUAUAGCAAUUAGAUAUGAUUAUAAUAUCCCUUGGAGGGUCCUACUAGUGAUGGUGACAGUAAUGUUAAAAAUUAUUUGAUGAAACUAUGAGAGAAGGUAAAAUGUUUGAAGAGAAAAAAUAAACUAAAUUAGAAACUAUUAACAAAAUAAUGAAGAAGAAGAUUGAGUGGAUAAUAUAGCAUUUAGAUAUGAUUAUAUCCCUUGGAGAGGAUCUUACUAGAGAUAGUGGUUAGUG